AGCUCUGGGCCAAGGGUGAACGGGACGGCGCCGGGCGUGAGGCCGCGACCUGGGCUCGGCGCUCCUGGCUGUGGUGGCCCGGCCCCGCGGGAUCUCGGGUGUCUGCCCGGCGCGCAGCUCCCGGGCCGCACAGCCCCUUCGGACGUGGCGGCACCGGGCUCCGGCCUCGCGCACGCCGCCCGCUGCCGGCGGCGCCCAGGGCCGCCGCGUCCCCCGAGGACAGGCGCAGGCCUGUCCUCCGCGCCUCCGGGCCGCCUGAGCGAAGUUCCCCCCGAGGCUGUUUCCUCACCCGUGAAGGCCCCCUCUGCCCACUCGAGGCUCCUUCCCACCCGGUUUUUCUGUGUUCUUCUCACGAUGUGUGAGUCUUCGUUCCUUCUGUACUUGGGAGGAUUCCGUGGACAAUAUAUUCGUUCAGCAAAUACUGAAUGAUCUCCUACUGUGUGCCAGGCCUUGGGAAUACGCCCUAGCUCAGAAUAUUCUUGCCCUAGUUCAGCUCAUAUUCCAAGGCGACAUGUGAAGAAAAACACCUAAUUAAUGUUGUUUCCAGUACCAUACUGUUCUGAAAAACAUAAAGCUGGAAGGGUAGGCAAGGAAAGCUGUUUCACACGUGCUGGUCUCUGAAUCCGCUUUUGAAAGUUAAGAGUUGAACAGAGACCUACGUUAAAGGCAAAAAAUUGAAGGAAAGGCAGGCUGGUGUGAUCAGACAUCACCUGGAAGAUGGUGAAUGAUCCGGAAUCUGAUGAGUUACAGACAUGGAGGCUGACCAGAUGUGGAAGAUGCGGGACUCCGGCUAAACCGACUUUCCUGCUAACAUUGAACAAUCAGAUAUGAACAGGAAAUCCAAAAUUCCAGGCCUAGUUGAAAAAAAGAGUUCAGAGGAGCCUGAGUGGAGUUUGGUCAAGGAGAGAAUCUUGUCACCUGAAUGAAAAGGAGAAAACCAGGCAUGACAAGGAGCUACAGAAGGAAUCCAUUUUUUUCACCUGUCCUUACUGCUGUCAUUCACUGCCAGCUGUGACAUCUUCAGAGGGCCAAACAAUGAAACAUUUCAAAAUAUUGAUUCUGGCAAAGCCUCCAUUACUGAAGUCACCAUGAGCCAGCACUAUUGUCAAAGCAUUGAUACUUAGAAUCUCAGGAAAGCAAAACCAAACAACAGUAAGAAAUACUGAAGAUGGCAGCAUUUUAUUUCAUCCAGCCCAAACAUCCUGACAAGUCGCUAUGCCUUAUCUAUGAAUUUUAGAAAUGGAAUAUUCAAACUUUAUGAAGAGCAUUUUCAGUCUCCUCAUUAAAGAAAAGGUGCUUCUGCCUCUUGCUAAGGAAACCAAAACUCUCUUCUGCGCUGAGGAGGCCUCGUACUGACUCCAGCUGGAGGUCCAAUUAGCAUGAUGUCACCAGCAUAGUAAGAUGUCCUUAGGAUGGUGAGGUGAUUCACGUUUCUGCUUAUUAAAUGACAGCAAAGAGUCAGAAUUGACAUAGUUCUGAUGUAAAAUGCUAUGAAGUCCUGCUGUUCCUUCCAGCAAAUAUCAUACUGAGUCAUGAAACAUUAAAGUAUUUCGAUUAUGAGAGGAAAAAAAAGAUCUGACAAGGAUGCCUACUGAGAAUGAGAAAGCAAAGAAGAAAUCCUGACAACUGUUAGCUGUGUGCUGACCUGAUGCUUAUGGCAAGGCUAUGCUCUUUCUUCCUUAAUACAAACGAUUUCAUAGAACAUCCACAUCAGCCAAAGUCACUCUGUGAAUGACUGUGAUAGAGUGAGCAAAGCUGACUAUUCCUUAAUCAUUUCUGAUCUUAGGAAAAUAGAAGAACACUGUGCGAAUAACAAAAACAAGCAAGCCUUCCCCUCUGUGCGCUACCCAGAGAAUGACUGCUGUUUCUAUGAUCAAUUACAGCUUUGACUCACUCCGUUCCACCUACCUCCUAGAUAAAAUGCGGACACAAAAAUAUAGAAUCCAGAGCUAAACGCACUUCUCUGUUCCUCUUCAAAAUGACGUAACACAAGCCUCAAUCCUAUAACAAUCCCAUCAUAAUAUUCUCUUACUGAGAUACCCCAUUGUUUCCCAUGGCAUUGGUCUCCCUCGCAACAAGUAAUAAGGCCAGU
Physeter macrocephalus (sperm whale) is the source of this 2092-nucleotide long non-coding RNA. RefSeq lists it as uncharacterized. The record is from RefSeq and is a predicted model, not a curated record. Lineage: Eukaryota; Metazoa; Chordata; Mammalia; Artiodactyla; Physeteridae. The transcript has 7 exons.